This 1662-nucleotide ribosomal RNA is filed under the name Tetraselmis sp. GSL018. RNAcentral's name for it is "partial Bacterial large subunit ribosomal RNA". It matches the Rfam family "Bacterial large subunit ribosomal RNA", at positions 1246 to 2925 of the family's 2925-position model. Lineage: Eukaryota; Viridiplantae; Chlorophyta; Chlorodendrophyceae; Chlorodendrales; Chlorodendraceae. The record is from RNAcentral.
UCGGGUGAAGCUAAAUCGUAAGAUAUUAGUGGACGAGGCGGAAGUGAGAAUGUCGGCUUGAGUAACGCAAACAUUGGUGAGAAUCCAAUGUCCCGAAAACCUAAGGGUUCCUUCGCAAGGCUCGUCCACGAAGGGUUAGUCAGGUCCUAAGGCGAGGUCGAAAGGCGUAGUCGAUGGCAAACAGGUUAACAUUCCUGUACUUCUUUUUAUUUGGUAACCAGGGACGGAGAAGGUAACGGUUAGCCGAGAUUUGGAUUUCUCGGUAGAAAUGCGCGAGUCGUUGAGAGGUUGAAGAAAAACAAUUUUUGAGACAAGACAUGAUAUGAUGAAAAAGUUUACUUUUUUAUUUAGCCUUAAUCCAACUUCCAAGAAAAGCUGGGAUUACUUUACAAUGAAAAGAACCUGUACCCUAAACCGACACAGGUAGGUAGGUAGAGAAUACUAAGGGACGCGAGAUAACUCUCUCUAAGGAACUCGGCAAAAUGGCCCCGUAACUUCGGGAGAAGGGGUGCCUCUAUUCAGAGGCCGCAGUGACCAGGCCCAGGCGACUGUUUACCAAAAACACAGGUCUCCGCUAAGUCGUAAGACAAUGUAUGGGGGCUGACGCCUGCCCAGUGCCGGAAGGUGAAGGAAGUCGGUGAUUCUUUUUGAAAAAGCUGGUGACCGAAGCCCCGGUGAACGGCGGCCGUAACUAUAACGGUCCUAAGGUAGCGAAAUUCCUUGUCGGGUAAGUUCCGACCCGCACGAAAGGCGUAACGAUCUGGGCGCUGUCUCAGAGAGAGACUCGGUGAAAUAGACAUAUUCGUGAAGAUGCGAAUUUAUCAUACUUGGACAGAAAGACCCUAUGAAGCUUGACUGUAGUCUGGAAUUGGGUUUGGGCUUUUCUUGCGCAGACUAGGUGGGAGGCGUUGAUCAUUUGUUUCCGGAUAAAUGUGAGCCAUCAGUGAGAGACCACUCUUGAAAGGCUAGAAUUCUAAUGGCGAUCCUUGAAUCAGGACGCUUGACAGUUUCAGAUAGGCAGUUUGACUGGGGCGGUCGCCUCAUAAAAAGUAACUGAGGCGUACAAAGGUUCCUUCAGAAUGGAUGGAAAUCAUUCGGAGAGUAUAAAGGUAUAAGGGAGCUUGACUGAAAGACUUACAAGUCGAACAGGGGCGAAAGCCGGUCUUAGUGAUCCGACGGUGCCGCGUGGAAGGGCCGUCGCUCAACGGAUAAAAGUUACUCUAGGGAUAACAGGCUGAUCUUCCCCAAGAGUUCACAUCGACGGGAAGGUUUGGCACCUCGAUGUCGAUUUCUCGCAACCUGGGGCGGUAGUACGUCCCAAGGGUUGGGCUGUUCGCCCAUGAAAGCGGGACGCGAGUUGGGUUCAGAACGUCGUGAGACAGUUCGGUCCAUAUCCAGUAUGAUCGUUAGAGUAUUGAAAGAAUUUCUCCCUAGUACGAGAGGACCGGGAGGGACACACCAAUAGUUUACCAGUUGUCGUUCCAACGGCAAACGCUGGGUAGCCAUGUGUGGAGUGGAUAACUGCUGAAAGCAUCUAAGUAGGAAGCCCAUCUUGAGAUUAGUACUCUCUGAGGUCACGGCAAGAAAAGCCGUUUUAUAGGUGUUACGUGUAAGAUCAGUAAUGGUUUUAGCGAAGACAUACUAAUAGACCGAUUGACUUUG